Long non-coding RNA from Chiroxiphia lanceolata (lance-tailed manakin), 126 nucleotides. RefSeq lists it as uncharacterized. The record is from RefSeq and is a predicted model, not a curated record. Lineage: Eukaryota; Metazoa; Chordata; Aves; Passeriformes; Pipridae. The transcript has 3 exons.
CAGGGACACAGCAUGAUUUUGAGUCAUGGGAGGUUUAGGUUGGAUAUCAGGAAAAGUUUUUUCACCCAGAAGGUAGUUGGACACUGAAAUAGGCUCCUCAGCGAAGUGGUCAAAGCACCAAGCCUG